UCUUUCUUUGCUGGCGACCGGCGCACGGGUGAGUAACACGUAUCCAACCUGCCCUUUACUCGGGGAUAGCCUUUCGAAAGAAAGAUUAAUACCCGAUAGCAUAAUGAUUCCGCAUGGUUUCAUUAUUAAAGGAUUCCGGUAAAGGAUGGGGAUGCGUUCCAUUAGGUUGUUGGUGGGGUAACGGCCCACCGAGCCUUCGAUGGAUAGGGGUUCUGAGAGGAAGGUCCCCCACAUUGGAACUGAGACACGGUCCAA
RNAcentral lists this ribosomal RNA (255 nucleotides) under uncultured bacterium. RNAcentral describes it as "partial 16S ribosomal RNA". It matches the Rfam family "Bacterial small subunit ribosomal RNA", at positions 78 to 334 of the family's 1533-position model. The record is from RNAcentral.